Molecule: ribosomal RNA, 253 nt
Filed under: uncultured bacterium
Lineage: Bacteria
Description: partial 16S ribosomal RNA
Rfam family: Bacterial small subunit ribosomal RNA
Source: RNAcentral
UACGUAGGUGGCAAGCGUUGUCCGGAUUUACUGGGCGUAAAGAGCGCGCAGGCGGUCGUUCAAGUCGCGUGUGAAAGCCCCCGGCUCAACUGGGGAGGGUCACGCGAUACUGAUCGACUCGAAGGCAGGAGAGGGUAGUGGAAUUCCCGGUGUAGUGGUGAAAUGCGUAGAUAUCGGGAGGAGCACCAGAGGCGAAGGCGGCCACCUGGACGAACACUGACGCUGAGACGCGAAAGCGUGGGGAGCAAACAGG